This 775-nucleotide ribosomal RNA is filed under the name uncultured Neocallimastigales. Its description in RNAcentral is "partial large subunit ribosomal RNA". It matches the Rfam family "Eukaryotic large subunit ribosomal RNA", at positions 24 to 611 of the family's 3401-position model. The record is from RNAcentral. Lineage: Eukaryota; Fungi; Neocallimastigomycota; Neocallimastigomycetes; Neocallimastigales.
UAUGUGAUCGUCUCUCGCAUAUCAAUAAGCGGAGGAAAAGAAACUAACAAGGAUUCCCCUAGUAACGGCGAGUGAAGCGGGAAGAGCUCAAAUUUGAAAUCUUAAAGGGUUUCCCUUUACGAAUUGUAGUUUAAAGAAGUGUUUUCUGUUGAGGUUUUGGUAAAAGUUCUUUGGAAUAGGACAUCAUAGAGGGUGAGAAUCCCGUAUUUGACCUUUACUUUCAACUUUGUGAUACACUUUCAAAGAGUCCGGAUUGUUUGGGAAUGCAGUCCAAAAUGGGUGGUAAAUUUCAUCUAAAGCUAAAUAUUGGCGAGAGACCGAUAGCGAACAAGUACCGUGAGGGAAAGAUGAAAAGAACUUUGAAAAGAGAGUUAAACAGUACGUGAAAUUGUCAAAAGGGAAGCGUUUGACACCAGUGUUGUUUUUCUGAAAAUCAAUUAAAGAACUGUUUAUGCUAAGUUGUUUAGACUUUAUCAGCUAACUGUUUAGUUUUGAGCUUUUCUUUAAUGCACUUUUCAGUUAACAAGUCAACAUCAAUUUCUUUUGCUGUAAAAAAGCUUGAGGAAGGUGGCUUGAGAUUCGUCUUAAGUGUUUAUAGCCUCUUGCCUAUGCAGUCGGAGAGAUUGAGGUCUGCAGCGUAGAUCCUUCGGGGCUAAAUGCAUUUGUGCUAAGUUAUAGCAUUUUAUAGACAACUUGUUGACUAUGAUUUGUCUUGUAGCUUACUCGCUUAUGUUAUUUUACCUACGCUUAGGAUGUUGAACGCGCACAGAGUCUC